AGAGUUUGAUCCUGGCUCAGGAUGAACGCUGGCGGCGUGCUUAACACAUGCAAGUCGAACGAACCUUCGGGUUAGUGGCGGACGGGUGAGUAACGCGUGAGAAUCUGCCCUCAGGAGGGGGAUAACGGCUGGAAACGGCCGCUAAUACCCCAUAUGCCGAGAGGUGAAAUGAAUUUCGCCUGAGGAUGAGCUCGCGUCUGAUUAGCUAGUUGGUGGGGUAAGAGCCUACCAAGGCGUCGAUCAGUAGCUGGUCUGAGAGGAUGAUCAGCCACACUGGGACUGAGACACGGCCCAGACUCCUACGGGAGGCAGCAGUGGGGAAUUUUCCGCAAUGGGCGAAAGCCUGACGGAGCAACGCCGCGUGAGGGAUGAAGGCCUCUGGGCUGUAAACCUCUUUUCUCAAGGAAGAAGAUCUGACGGUACUUGAGGAAUAAGCCACGGCUAAUUCCGUGCCAGCAGCCGCGGUAAUACGGGAGUGGCAAGCGUUAUCCGGAAUUAUUGGGCGUAAAGCGUCCGCAGGCGGCCUCGUAAGUCUGUUGUCAAAGCGUGGAGCUUAACUCCAUUUCGGCAAUGGAAACUGUGAGGCUUGAGUGUGGUAGGGGCAGAGGGAAUUCCCGGUGUAGCGGUGAAAUGCGUAGAUAUCGGGAAGAACACCAGUGGCGAAGGCGCUCUGCUGGGCCAUAACUGACGCUCAUGGACGAAAGCCAGGGGAGCGAAAGGGAUUAGAUACCCCUGUAGUCCUGGCCGUAAACGAUGAACACUAGGUGUCGGGGGAAUCGACCCCCUCGGUGUCGUAGCCAACGCGUUAAGUGUUCCGCCUGGGGAGUACGCACGCAAGUGUGAAACUCAAAGGAAUUGACGGGGGCCCGCACAAGCGGUGGAGUAUGUGGUUUAAUUCGAUGCAACGCGAAGAACCUUACCAGGGUUUGACAUCCUGCGAACCCCUGAGAAAUCGGGGGGUGCCUUCGGGAGCGCAGUGACAGGUGGUGCAUGGCUGUCGUCAGCUCGUGUCGUGAGAUGUUGGGUUAAGUCCCGCAACGAGCGCAACCCACGUCUUUAGUUGCCAGCAUUCAGUUGGGCACUCUAGAGAGACCGCCGGUGAUAAACCGGAGGAAGGUGUGGAUGACGUCAAGUCAUCAUGCCCCUUACAUCCUGGGCUACACACGUACUACAAUGCUACGGACAAAGGGCAGCAAACUCGCGAGAGCUAGCAAAUCCCAUAAACCGUGGCUCAGUUCAGAUCGUAGGCUGCAACUCGCCUACGUGAAGGAGGAAUCGCUAGUAAUCGCAGGUCAGCAUACUGCGGUGAAUACGUUCCCGGGCCUUGUACACACCGCCCGUCACACCAUGGAAGUUGGCCACGCCCGAAGCCGUUACUCCAACCCUUGUGGAGGAGGACGUCGAAGGUGGGGCUGAUGACUGGGGUGAAGUCGUAACAAGGUAGCCGUACCGGAAGGUGCGGCUGGAUCACCU
Molecule: ribosomal RNA, 1473 nt
Filed under: Synechococcus sp. CACIAM 66
Lineage: Bacteria; Bacillati; Cyanobacteriota; Cyanophyceae; Synechococcales; Synechococcaceae
Description: bacterial SSU rRNA
Rfam family: Bacterial small subunit ribosomal RNA
Source: RNAcentral